RNAcentral lists this ribosomal RNA (469 nucleotides) under uncultured bacterium. Its description in RNAcentral is "bacterial SSU rRNA". It matches the Rfam family "Bacterial small subunit ribosomal RNA", at positions 38 to 507 of the family's 1533-position model. The record is from RNAcentral.
GGCGGCGCGCCUAACACAUGCAAGUCGAACGGAGUUCUUUGAUGAAGUUUUCGGAUGGAUUCACUUGAACUUAGUGGCGGACGGGUGAGUAACACGUGAGCAACCUGCCUAUCAGAGGGGGAUAACGAUUGGAAACGAUCGCUAAUACCGCAUAACGCAGCGAGGAGGCAUCUUCAUGCUGCCAAAGAUUUAUCGCUGAUAGAUGGGCUCGCGUCCGAUUAGAUAGUUGGUGAGGUAACGGCCCACCAAGUCGACGAUCGGUAGCCGGACUGAGAGGUCGAACGGCCACAUUGGGACUGAGACACGGCCCAGACUCCUACGGGAGGCAGCAGUGGGGGAUAUUGCACAAUGGGGGAAACCCUGAUGCAGCGACGCCGCGUGAGGGAAGACGGUCCUCUGGAUUGUAAACCUCUGUCUUCGGGGACGAAACGAGACGGUACCCGAGGAGGAAGCCACGGCUAACUACGUG